ACACGACCGUACCGCAAACCGACACUGGUGCGCGAGAUGAGUAUUCUAAGGCGCUUGAGAGAACUCAGGAGAAGGAACUCGGCAAAUUGACACCGUAACUUCGGAAGAAGGUGUGCCUUUAGUAGGUGAACCUGUACAAGGGGAGCCCAAUGAGGUUGCAAAAAAUCGGUGGCUGCGACUGUUUAAUAAAAACACAGCACUCUGCAAACACGAAAGUGGACGUAUAGGGUGUGACGCCUGCCCGGUGCUGGAAGAUUAAAUGAUGGGGUGCAAGCUCUUGAUUGAAGUCCCAGUAAACGGCGGCCGUAACAAUAACGGUCCUAAGGUAGCGAAAUUCCUUGUCGGGUAAGUUCCGACCUGCACGAAUGGCGUAACGAUGGCCACACUGUCUCCUCCUGAGACUCAGCGAAGUUGAAAUGUUUUGAUGAUGCAAUCUCCCCGCGGAAAGACGGAAAGACCCCAUGAACCUUUACUGUAGCUUUGUAUUGGACUUUGAACAGAUCUGUGUAGGAUAGGUGGGAGGCUUUGAAGUGUGGUCGCUAGAUCGCAUGGAGCCAACGUUGAAAUACCACCCUGGUGUGUUUGAGGUUCUAACCUAGGCCCGUAAUCCGGGUCGGGGACAGUGCAUGGUAGGCAGUUUGACUGGGGCGGUCUCCUCCCAAAGCGUAACGGAGGAGUUCGAAGGUACGCUAGGUACGGUCGGACAUCGUGCUAAUAGUGCAAUGGCAUAAGCGUGCUUAACUGCGAGACUGACAAGUCGAGCAGAUGCGAAAGCAGGACAUAGUGAUCCGGUGGUUCUGUAUGGAAGGGCCAUCGCUCAACGGAUAAAAGGUACUCUGGGGAUAACAGGCUGAUACCGCCCAAGAGUUCAUAUCGACGGCGGUGUUUGGCACCUCGAUGUCGGCUCAUCUCAUCCUGGGGCUGUAGCCGGUCCCAAGGGUAUGGCUGUUCGCCAUUUAAAGAGGUACGUGAGCUGGGUUUAAAACGUCGUGAGACAGUUUGGUCCCUAUCUUCCGUGGGCGCUGCAGAUUUGAGGAAGCCUGCUCCUAGUACGAGAGGACCGGAGUGGACACACCUCUGGUGUAUCGGUUGUCACGCCAGUGGCAUUGCCGAGUAGCUAUGUGUGGAAGAGAUAACCGCUGAAAGCAUCUAAGCGGGAAACUCGUUUCAAGAUGAGAUCUGCCGGGGCCUUGAGCCCCCUAAAGAGUCGUUCAAGACCAGGACGUUGAUAGGUCGGGUGUGGAAGCGCAGUAAUGCGUUAAGCUAACCGAUACUAAUUGCUCGUGCGGCUUGAUC
Molecule: ribosomal RNA, 1296 nt
Filed under: metagenome
Description: bacterial LSU rRNA
Rfam family: Bacterial large subunit ribosomal RNA
Source: RNAcentral